AGGAUGCGUGGUGGGGGAAUUCAUGUGGAGGUCAGAGUGGAAGCAGGUGUGAGAGGGUCCAGCAGAAGAAAACAUGGCUGCCAAAGUGUUUGAGUCCAUUGGCAAGUUUGGCCUGGCCUUAGCUGUUGCAGGAGGCGUGGUGAACUCUGCCUUAUAUAAUGUGGAUGCUGGGCACAGAGCUGUCAUCUUUGACCGGUUCCGUGGAGUACAGGACAUUGUGGUAGGGGAAGGGACUCACUUUCUCAUCCCAUGGGUACAGAAACCAAUUAUCUUUGACUGCCGUUCUCGACCACGUAAUGUGCCGGUCAUCACUGGUAGCAAAGAUUUACAGAAUGUCAACAUCACACUGCGCAUCCUCUUCCGGCCCGUCGCUAGCCAGCUUCCUCGCAUCUUCACCAGCAUCGGAGAGGACUAUGAUGAGCGUGUGCUGCCGUCCAUCACGACCGAGAUCCUCAAGUCAGUGGUGGCUCGCUUUGAUGCUGGAGAACUAAUCACCCAGAGAGAGCUGGUCUCCAGGCAGGUGAGCGACGAUCUUACAGAGCGAGCAGCCACCUUUGGGCUCAUCCUGGAUGACGUGUCCUUGACACAUCUGACCUUCGGGAAGGAGUUCACAGAAGCGGUGGAAGCCAAACAGGUGGCUCAGCAGGAAGCAGAGAGGGCCAGAUUUGUGGUGGAAAAGGCUGAGCAGCAAAAAAAGGCAGCCAUCAUCUCUGCUGAGGGUGAUUCCAAGACGGCUGAGCUGAUUGCCAACUCACUGGCCACUGCAGGGGACGGCCUGAUCGAGCUGCGCAAGCUGGAAGCCGCGGAGGACAUCGCAUACCAGCUCUCACGUUCUCGGAACAUCACCUACCUGCCGGCGGGGCAGUCUGUGCUCCUCCAGCUGCCCCAGUGAGGGCCCACCCUGCCUGCACUUCUGCGGGCUGACUGGGCCACAGCCCAGAUGAUUCUUAACACCGCCUUCCUUCUGCCCCCACCCCAGAAAUCACUGUGAAAUUUCAUGAUUGGCUUAAAGUGAAGGAAAUAAAGGUAAAAUCACUUCAGAAAAAAAAAAAAAAAAAAAAA
RNA transcript from Rhinopithecus roxellana (golden snub-nosed monkey), 1062 nucleotides. It is a transcript of the gene named prohibitin pseudogene, with no coding region annotated. The record is from RefSeq and is a predicted model, not a curated record. Lineage: Eukaryota; Metazoa; Chordata; Mammalia; Primates; Cercopithecidae. The transcript has a single exon.